GAGGUCGGAAAGUGGGCUGACCUUGAAGUGGAGGUUGAUUUUGGAGCUGAGCUUGGGCUGGAGGUUGUGGUUGGAAAGGAGGCUGGGGUUGGGAUGGCGGUUGUGGUUGGAAAGGAGGCUGGGGUUGGGAUGGAGGCUGUGGUUGGAAAGGAGGCUGGGCUUGGGCAAGAGAUAGUACCUGUUGAGCCCAGGGUGCAACGUAACCGUUGUAAGGAUUGUUACCUUGGUUCACAGG
This 235-nucleotide long non-coding RNA is filed under the name Elaeis guineensis (African oil palm). Its description in RNAcentral is "long non-coding RNA (EGUI_LNC013526)". Lineage: Eukaryota; Viridiplantae; Streptophyta; Magnoliopsida; Arecales; Arecaceae. The record is from RNAcentral.